GUGCAUGUUUAUAUAGGAAAAGUUGGGGAGACCUGACGCUGAAAGAUGGACUCGCGUCCCAUUAGCUAGUUGGUAGGGUAAUGGCCUACCAAGGCGACGAUGGGUAGCCGGCCUGAGAGGGUGGCCGGCCACACUGGGACUGAGACACGGCCCAGACUCCUACGGGAGGCAGCAGUGGGGAAUUUUGCGCAAUGCUCGUAAGAGUGACGCAGCGACGCCGCGUGAAUGACGAAGGCCUUCGGGUCGUAAAGUUCUUUCGACAGGGAAGAAAAUGCCUAUAAGUAACUGUGUAUGUAUUGACGGUACCUGUAUAAGCAGCCCCGGCUAACUCCGUGCCAGCAGCCGCGGUAAUACGGAGGGGGCGAGCGUUGUUCGGAGUGACUGGGCGUAAAGAGCACGUAGGCGGUGUUGUAAGUCAUUAGUCAAAGACUAGAGCUCAACUUUAGUAAGGCUAGUGAUACUAUAAUACUAGAGUAUCAGAGAGGAUUGCAGAAUUCCUGGUGUAGCGGUGAAAUGCGUAGAUAUCAGGAGGAAUACCGUUAGCGAAGGCGGCAAUCUGGCUGGAAACUGACGCUGAGGUGCGAAAGCGUGGGUAGCAAACAGGAUUAGAUACCCUGGUAGUCCACGCUGUAAACGAUGGAUGCUAGGUGU
This 651-nucleotide ribosomal RNA is filed under the name uncultured bacterium. RNAcentral describes it as "bacterial SSU rRNA". It matches the Rfam family "Bacterial small subunit ribosomal RNA", at positions 186 to 823 of the family's 1533-position model. The record is from RNAcentral.